GGGUGAGACGGGAGGAAGGUAGUCACGGGCUCAAGGCUGGAGGCUGGCGGGCUAGGGCUGAGUGGAGCGCCUGCUUAGAGACCUUCGGGAGAACUUCUGCCGGAACCCCGACGGCUCAGAGGCGCCCUGGUGCUUCACACUGCGGCCCGGCAUGCGCGCGGCCUUUUGCUACCAGAUCCGGCGUUGUACAGACGACGUGCGGCCCCAGGGUGAGGCCCAAGCUUGGGGGCUACAGAGCCGGGCUGGAAGCCUGGAACCGGAGGGCCGGGGCGAGGUCUCGGCCUGAUGGCUGCCCGCACCCGCCACAGACUGCUACCACGGCGCAGGGGAGCAGUACCGCGGCACGGUCAGCAAGACCCGCAAGGGUGUCCAGUGCCAGCGCUGGUCCGCUGAGACGCCGCACAAGCCGCAGUUCACGUUUACCUCCGAACCGCAUGCACAACUGGAGGAGAACUUCUGCCGGAACCCAGAUGGGGAUAGCCAUGGGCCCUGGUGCUACACGAUGGACCCAAGGACCCCAUUCGACUACUGUGCCCUGCGACGCUGCGCUGAUGACCAGCCGCCAUCAAUCCUGGACCCCCCAGGUUAGGAGUUGGGCCAGUUAUGGGUCAGGCCCUUUAGCCCACGACAUCCACACAGUCUGGGUUU
RNAcentral lists this long non-coding RNA (648 nucleotides) under Homo sapiens (human). RNAcentral describes it as "non-protein coding lnc-MST1-1:10". Lineage: Eukaryota; Metazoa; Chordata; Mammalia; Primates; Hominidae. The record is from RNAcentral.